RNAcentral lists this ribosomal RNA (423 nucleotides) under uncultured bacterium. RNAcentral describes it as "bacterial SSU rRNA". It matches the Rfam family "Bacterial small subunit ribosomal RNA", at positions 207 to 622 of the family's 1533-position model. The record is from RNAcentral.
AAGACCUUGCGCUUUUGGAGCGGCCGAUGUCUGAUUAGCUAGUUGGUGGGGUAAUGGCCUACCAAAGCUUCGAUCAGUAGCUGGUCUGAGAGGACGGCCAGCCACAUUGGGACUGAGACACGGCCCAGACUCCUACGGGAGGCAGCAGUGGGGAAUUUUGGACAAUGGGCGCAAGCCUGAUCCAGCCAUGCCGCGUGGGUGAAGAAGGCCUUCGGGUUGUAAAGCUCUUUCAGCCGGGAAGAAAAGGUUGCGAUUAAUAAUCGCAAUUGAUGACGGUACCGGAAGAAGAAGCACCGGCUAACUACGUGCCAGCAGCCGCGGUAAUACGUAGGGUGCGAGCGUUAAUCGGAAUUACUGGGCGUAAAGGGUGCGCAGGCGGUUUUGUAAGUCAGAUGUGAGAUCCCCGGGCUUAACCUGGGAACU